GAUGAACGCUGGCGGCGUGCCUAAUACAUGCAAGUCGAGCGAACAGACGAGGAGCUUGCUCCUCUGACGUUAGCGGCGGACGGGUGAGUAACACGUGGAUAACCUACCUAUAAGACUGGGAUAACUUCGGGAAACCGGAGCUAAUACCGGAUAACAUGCUGAACCGCAUGGUUCAACAGUGAAAGACGGUUUUGCUGUCACUUAUAGAUGGAUCCGCGUCGCAUUAGCUAGUUGGUAAGGUAACGGCUUACCAAGGCAACGAUGCGUAGCCGACCUGAGAGGGUGAUCGGCCACACUGGAACUGAGACACGGUCCAGACUCCUACGGGAGGCAGCAGUAGGGAAUCUUCCGCAAUGGGCGAAAGCCUGACGGAGCAACGCCGCGUGAGUGAAGAAGGUCUUCGGAUCGUAAAACUCUGUUAUUAGGGAAGAACAAAUGUGUAAGUAACUAUGCACGUCUUGACGGUACCUAAUCAGAAAGCCACGGCUAACUACGUG
This 497-nucleotide ribosomal RNA is filed under the name uncultured bacterium. Its description in RNAcentral is "partial 16S ribosomal RNA". It matches the Rfam family "Bacterial small subunit ribosomal RNA", at positions 28 to 507 of the family's 1533-position model. The record is from RNAcentral.